RNAcentral lists this ribosomal RNA (429 nucleotides) under uncultured prokaryote. Its description in RNAcentral is "bacterial SSU rRNA". It matches the Rfam family "Bacterial small subunit ribosomal RNA", at positions 355 to 774 of the family's 1533-position model. The record is from RNAcentral.
UAGGGAAUAUUCCGCAAUGGGCGAAAGCCUGACGGAGCGACGCCGCGUGAAUGAAGAAGUCCUUCGGGAUGUAAAGUUCAAUCGGCCGGGGAAGAAUGGUUUGCAUACUAAUAAUAUGCGAGCAGAGACGGUACCCGGAAUGAAGCCACGGCUAAUUACGUGCCAGCAGCCGCGGUAAUACGUAAGUGGCAAGCGUUAUCCGGAAUCACUGGGUGUAAAGGGUGUGUAGGCGGUAAUAAAAGUUUUGUGUUUAAAUUCAGGGCUCAACCCUGAACUGGCAUGAAGGACUGUAUUGCUAGAGUGACAAAGAGGAAACUGGAACUCCAGGUGAAGCGGUGAAAUGUGUAGAUAUCUGGGGGAACACCAAUGGCGAAGGCAGGUUUCUGGUUGUCAACUGACGCUGAGACACGAAAGCGUGGGGAUCAAACG